GUGAAAUCCCGGGGCUCAACCCCGGAACUGCAUUUGAUACUGCCGGACUUGAGUAAUGGAGGGGUAGCUGGAAUUCUCGGUGUAGCAGUGAAAUGCGUGGAUAUCGAGAGGAACACUCGUGGCGAAGGCGAGCUACUGGACAUUUACUGACGCUGAGGCUCGAAGGCCAGGGUAGCGAAAGGGAUUAGAUACCCCUGUAGUCCUGGCAGUAAACGGUGUGCGCUUGGUGUGAGGGGUUUCGACCCCCCUUGUGCCGGAGCUAACGCGUUAAGCGCACCGCCUGGGAAGUACGGUCGCAAGACUAAAACUCAAAGAAAUUGACGGGGACCCGCACAAGCGGUGGAGUAUGUGGCUUAAUUCGAUGCAACGCGAAGAACCUUACCAGGGCUUGACAUGCAUUGCUAAUUCCGUGAAAGCGGAUGAGUCUUCGGACACCUUGCACAGGUGCUGCAUGGCCGUCGUCAGCUCGUGUCGUGAGAUG
This 481-nucleotide ribosomal RNA is filed under the name uncultured bacterium. RNAcentral describes it as "bacterial SSU rRNA". It matches the Rfam family "Bacterial small subunit ribosomal RNA", at positions 594 to 1074 of the family's 1533-position model. The record is from RNAcentral.